CUUACCUGACUCGUGAUAGCAGCAGAAUAAUAAAUCAAGGCUCACACAGGAGGCAUCCCACAUCUUGUGCUUUAUUCUUCUGUCAAGAUAUAUUACAGAAAAUAACUUAAUCUGAGCAUCAGAGAACGUCCCGAGCACAUGCGCUUGUUACAGAAAGUUCACACAUUCACACACACAUAGACGCACACACAUACGCUGUUAAAGGAGACGCACCCCAUUUUCACUCGUUAGUUACAGACACAUGUCAGAUUUUAUUUUAGAGAGCAGGAGGUUAACUGCAUGUUUACACAGCAGAAAAGUGCGUGCUUUUAAGGGCGUGGCAUGGAGCCGAUCCGCCAAUAGCUGCACAUUAUGACGAUGACCAAUCGAUGUCACUUAAGGGCGGGCCUUUCAGAGGAACUAGGAAAUAUGACAGUCGUUUUCAGUGUUGCCAGACUAGCUGUGUAUAAUCAAAGUGAGAUAUAUGAAAAAACUACGCGACUUCCUUCAAGUGAAACAUGAGCACACAUUGCUUUGCAUCUUAUAAACACAACCAAGCCUUGAGUUUACAUUCUGGACCA
Molecule: small RNA, 560 nt
Filed under: Danio rerio (zebrafish)
Lineage: Eukaryota; Metazoa; Chordata; Actinopteri; Cypriniformes; Danionidae
Description: long non-coding RNA NONDRET013882
Source: RNAcentral